GGAAACGUUAGUGGGUUUGUUGGACGUGGCCGGUCGCCGUCCGUCCUUGCCGAUGAUUGUGUGUUGUAGUUCUCGCGACGAGCUCGAUGCUGUCUGCUCCGCUGUCUCCAACCUCCAAUACAUCUCUUUGGCCUCCUUGGUAUCGUUAUUUCUGAUCAAUAAUAGCUCUUCUAGCUGAAAUUCGUGAAAUUGUUCUAGAAAUGCCCGGGCCUGAGCCUGAUACAUGCAUUUCUUUUCUGCCACUGAACGAAUAAUUUCAUCUCGA
RNAcentral lists this unclassified non-coding RNA (265 nucleotides) under Hevea brasiliensis (rubber tree). The record is from RNAcentral. Lineage: Eukaryota; Viridiplantae; Streptophyta; Magnoliopsida; Malpighiales; Euphorbiaceae.